RNAcentral lists this ribosomal RNA (253 nucleotides) under uncultured bacterium. RNAcentral's name for it is "partial 16S ribosomal RNA". It matches the Rfam family "Bacterial small subunit ribosomal RNA", at positions 524 to 776 of the family's 1533-position model. The record is from RNAcentral.
UACGUAGGGGGCAAGCGUUGUCCGGAUUUAUUGGGCGUAAAGAGCUCGUAGGCGGUUCGUCGCGUCGGCUGUGAAAUCCCGAGGCUCAACCUCGGGUCUGCAGUCGAUACGAGCAAACUAGAGUGUUGCAGGGGAGACUGGAAUUCCUGGUGUAGCGGUGAAAUGCGCAGAUAUCAGGAGGAACACCGGUGGCGAAGGCGGGUCUCUGGGCAACAACUGACGCUGAGGAGCGAAAGCGUGGGGAGCGAACAGG